UACGAAGGGGGCUAGCGUUGUUCGGAAUUACUGGGCGUAAAGCGCGUGUAGGCGGACCCUCAAGUCGGACGUGAAAUCCCUGGGCUCAACCCAGGAACUGCAUCCGAAACUGGGGGUCUAGAGUGGUGGAGAGGGAAGCAGAAUUCCUGGUGUAGAGGUGAAAUUCGUAGAUAUCAGGAAGAACACCAAUGGCGAAAGCAGCUUUCUGGGACGGUACUGACGCUGAGACGCGAAAGCGUGGGGAGCGAACAGG
Molecule: ribosomal RNA, 253 nt
Filed under: uncultured bacterium
Lineage: Bacteria
Description: partial 16S ribosomal RNA
Rfam family: Bacterial small subunit ribosomal RNA
Source: RNAcentral